CUGGAAUUUGUGAUUUGUUAAGUGUUCUGCCUCAUUGACCCAACUUUACUCAGCAAUUGUUGAUGGAGUGGCGUGUAGGGAAUGGAUAGAUGAUUGCAUAUAAAGAUGAAAAAAUGCGUUCUCACCCUCAAGAGUCUGCCAGUGAGGCCGAUAAGUACCAAACGUGAAAAGUAAAUAUCUGGUCUUUUAAGAUACUUGAAGAUGCCAAGUUAAUUACUUUUCUGUUGUGUAGAUUUUAUGGAAAGAACUCUUCCUAUGUUCAUGGGGGAUUGGAUUCAAAUGGAAAGCCAGCAGAUGCAGUCUACGGGCAGAAAGAAAUCCAUAGGAAAGUGAUGUCACAAAACUUUACCAACUGCCACACCAAGAUUCGACAUGUUGAUGCUCAUGCCACUUUGAAUGAUGGUGUGGUGGUCCAAGUGAUGGGGCUUCUCUCUAAUAACAACCAGGCUUUGAGGAGAUUCAUGCAGACAUUUGUUCUUGCUCCUGAGGGCUCUGUUGCAAAUAAGUUCUAUGUUCACAAUGAUAUCUUCAGAUACCAAGAUGAGGUCUUUGGUGGCUUUGUCACUGAGCCUCAGGAGGGUAAGUUGUGAAACACUAUAAGUUGACUUCUCUGAAUUUUCCUGAUGGCAUCAGACUGACAUUUGGCUUUCUUGAAUGUUUUAUUUUAAUCUGUAUUCAUUAAUAAAUAAUUGUCAAGACAUAUGACGGGUCUGGGAUUUUACUUCAUGGAUGUUAAUAGAAGAUGUAAGACUCCAAGGUCAGGAGUGGACAGCGACAAUAGUAGCAUUUUUGCCACACUGCCCACAGGAUACUAUGGAGGGACAGAUGAUUUAAUUGUACUGCUAUAGAUUAUGUCAAAAAUGAGGAACACUUGAGUUUAGGGACCCCAAAUCUUUUAUAAUGGGCAC
This is a long non-coding RNA of Otolemur garnettii (small-eared galago), 908 nucleotides long. RefSeq lists it as uncharacterized. Lineage: Eukaryota; Metazoa; Chordata; Mammalia; Primates; Galagidae. The transcript is spliced from 3 exons. The record is from RefSeq and is a predicted model, not a curated record.